This 253-nucleotide ribosomal RNA is filed under the name uncultured bacterium. RNAcentral's name for it is "partial 16S ribosomal RNA". It matches the Rfam family "Bacterial small subunit ribosomal RNA", at positions 524 to 776 of the family's 1533-position model. The record is from RNAcentral.
AACGUAGGAGACAAACGUUAUCCGGAGUUACUGGGCGUAAAGGGCGUGUAGGCGGUUUGUUAAGUCUGGCGUGAAAGCUCUCGGCUAAACCGGGAGAGGUCGUUGGAUACUGGCGAACUGGAGGAUGGUAGAGGCGUGUGGAAUUCCGGGUGUAGUGGUGAAAUGCGUAGAGAUCCGGAGGAACACCAGUGGCGAAGGCGACACGCUGGGCCAUACCUGACGCUAAAGCGCGACAGCAUGGGGAGCAAACGGG